GACGAACGCUGGCGGCGUGCUUAACACAUGCAAGUCGAACGGAAAGGCCCUGCUUUUGUUUGGUGCUUGAGUGGCGAACGGGUGAGUAACACGUGAGUAAACUGCCCUUGACUUUGGGAUAACUCCAGGAAACUGGGUCUAAUACAGGAUAGGAGCUUCUGCUGCAUGGUGGGGGUUGGAAAGUUUCGGCGGUUGGGGAUGGACUCGCGGCUUAUCAGCUUGUUGGUGGGGUAGUGGCUUACAAAGGCUUUGAGGGGUAGCCGGCCUUGGAGGGGGACCGGGGACAGGGGGACUAAGGGACGGCGCAGAAUGGAACGGUAGGCAGUAGUGGGGAGUAUGGCACGACGGGCGGAAGUGUGAGAUAGAGAUGCUGCGAUCGUGAUGACGGCUUAUGAGUGAUGAACAGAUUUCGAAUGAGAUGUACAGAUAGUGACGGUAAUGGGUAAAAAAGCAACGGCUAACUACGUG
Molecule: ribosomal RNA, 468 nt
Filed under: uncultured bacterium
Lineage: Bacteria
Description: partial 16S ribosomal RNA
Rfam family: Bacterial small subunit ribosomal RNA
Source: RNAcentral